UACGUAGGGUGCAAGCGUUGUCCGGAAUUAUUGGGCGUAAAGAGCGUGUAGGCGGCUUGGAAGGUCAGCUGUGAAAACUCGAGGCUCAACCUCGAGACGUCGGUUGAAACCACCUGGCUAGAGUCCGGAAGAGGAGAGUGGAAUUCCCGGUGUAGCGGUGAAAUGCGCAGAUAUCGGGAGGAACACCAAUGGCGAAGGCAGCUCGCUGGGACGUUACUGACGCUGAGACGCGAAAGCGUGGGGAGCAAACAGG
RNAcentral lists this ribosomal RNA (253 nucleotides) under uncultured bacterium. Its description in RNAcentral is "partial 16S ribosomal RNA". It matches the Rfam family "Bacterial small subunit ribosomal RNA", at positions 524 to 776 of the family's 1533-position model. The record is from RNAcentral.